GAUGAAGAACGUAGCGAAAUGCGAUAAGUAAUGUGAAUUGCAGAAUUCAGUGAAUCAUCGAAUCUUUGAACGCAUCUUGCGCUCCUUGGUAUUCUGAGGAGCAUGCCUGUUUGAGUGUCAUUAAAUUCUCAACUACACUGACUUUGAAUUGGUGUGGCUUGGAUUUGGGGGGAAAAUUGUUGUGGGCUUUUUGUAUAGUCUGCUCCCCUGAAAUUGAUUAGCGGUACCUUUGUGGAACUGUCUACAGGUGUGAUAAUUAUCUACAUCUGCUGGAAUGCUGCUUUCUAAACCUUACUUGUAUUGACAAUCUUGACCUCAAAUCAGGUAGGACUACCCGCUGAACUUAAGCAUAUCAUAAGCGGAGGA
Molecule: unclassified non-coding RNA, 366 nt
Filed under: soil metagenome
Description: partial contains 5.8S ribosomal RNA, internal transcribed spacer 2, and large subunit ribosomal RNA
Rfam family: 5.8S ribosomal RNA (bases 1-120)
Source: RNAcentral